RNAcentral lists this ribosomal RNA (489 nucleotides) under uncultured bacterium. RNAcentral's name for it is "partial 16S ribosomal RNA". It matches the Rfam family "Bacterial small subunit ribosomal RNA", at positions 30 to 507 of the family's 1533-position model. The record is from RNAcentral.
AUUGAACGCUGGCGGCAGGCCUAACACAUGCAAGUCGAACGGUAACAGGAAGAAGCUUGCUUCUUUGCUGACGAGUGGCGGACGGGUGAGUAAUGUCUGGGAAACUGCCUGAUGGAGGGGGAUAACUACUGGAAACGGUAGCUAAUACCGCAUAACGUCGCAAGACCAAAGAGGGGGACCUUCGGGCCUCUUGCCAUCGGAUGUGCCCAGAUGGGAUUAGCUAGUAGGUGGGGUAACGGCUCACCUAGGCGACGAUCCCUAGCUGGUCUGAGAAGAUGACCAGCCACACUGGAACUGAGACACGGUCCAGACUCCUACGGGAGGCAGCAGUGGGGAAUAUUGCACAAUGGGCGCAAGCCUGAUGCAGCCAUGCCGCGUGUAUGAAGAAGGCCUUCGGGUGGUAAGUACUUUCAGCGGGGAGGAAGGGAGUAAAGUUAAUACCUUUGCUCAUUGACGUUACCCGCAGAAGAAGCACCGGCUAACUCCGUG